Molecule: ribosomal RNA, 495 nt
Filed under: uncultured bacterium
Lineage: Bacteria
Description: partial 16S ribosomal RNA
Rfam family: Bacterial small subunit ribosomal RNA
Source: RNAcentral
GACGAACGCUGGCGGCGUGCCUAAUACAUGCAAGUAGAACGCUGAAGGAGGAGCUUGCUUCUCCGGAUGAGUUGCGAACGGGUGAGUAACGCGUAGGUAACCUGCCUGCUAGCGGGGGAUAACUAUUGGAAACGAUAGCUAAUACCGCAUAAGAGUAGAUGUUGCAUGACAUUUGCUUAAAAGGUGCAAUUGCAUCACUACCAGAUGGACCUGCGUUGUAUUAGCUAGUUGGUGAGGUAACGGCUCACCAAGGCGACGAUACAUAGCCGACCUGCGAGGGUGAUCGGCCACACUGGGACUGAGACACGGCCCAGACUCCUACGGGAGGCAGCAGUAGGGAAUCUUCGGCAAUGGACGGAAGUCUGACCGAGCAACGCCGCGUGAGUGAAGAAGGUUUUCGGAUCGUAAAGCUCUGUUGUAAGAGAAGAACGAGUGUGAGAGUGGAAAGUUCACACUGUGACGGUAGCUUACCAGAAAGGGACGGCUAACUACGUG